UCAAUCCAGUGUGGUUUAAGGUUUUGGAUAGGACCAUUUUACCACUAAAGUGAAAGAAACAAGGAGGUCCAAGGGGUUGUAAAAGAUUCAUAGCCAAGAGAGGGACAUUGGGAGUGACGGGCGUUGAUCAUAUUCAACAUACUAGGUGAAAGCACACUAUUCAUUUUCUUCAAGUUAUUCAAAACUGAAGAUCAGAUCUGUUGGAGUGGCCAAUAUUUAUCCUCUUGAGUAUUGAAAAUCUAUAUCUACAUAUGAAAUUGUCCAUGAAUCAGCUGCGUUCCAUUUCUAAUCAAGCGCAAGGGAUUUUUUUUUCCGCAUCCAACUAAAUGCUACUGUCAGAAUGCCUACAUCAGAUUAUGAGAGACAGUUCCCCAAUCUAUUUAUUUUUCUUACAAAUGCAGAGGUGGGGAAUGCUUUUGUUGAACAAUAAUACCACAUCAUCAAGCAUCCGAGCUUGUGUUUCAAUGUUACUAGGAAAGGAGUAAAGUUGGCAGCCUGAGCUUGAUGGAAACUUGAGUUCCAUAACGACCAUGAAAGGUAUCAAUGAGAAGAUAAUCUCUCUGGAUUAGAGCAAUUGCAAAGCAGAACUUAAGACGGUGGAUGCCCAGGAAUCACACAAUGGUGGAAUGAGUCCUUGUGACUGGGUAUCUCACUAGAAAGGAUGUUGUGAGGAGGGGUUUUAAGCAGAUUUUUUUCCUUGCUCCUCCAGGUAUGGGCAAGGGCUACAUUGUUUUGAACUUCUUUAGAUAUGUUGAAGAGGUUAAAAAUUAGGGGUAAGACCCAGAGUUUGCCUAAUGAUGUAGCUGCGCUCAUCUAACUCCUGAGCUGGGUAUGUUCUAUAUUUGUGUGUGUGUGUGGUUUUUUUUUUUCUUUUUCUUCUAAUGAUCAUAGGUUGUUUUCUUCUAUUUGAUUGAGAUUCUUCCUUGACAAUGAGGAAGAGCAAGCCUGGUUGAUAAUAGAUUCGAUUUUAUUUUAAAAAUGAAAACAGUAAUUUUCUAGAA
Molecule: long non-coding RNA, 1001 nt
Organism: Macadamia integrifolia
Lineage: Eukaryota; Viridiplantae; Streptophyta; Magnoliopsida; Proteales; Proteaceae
Exons: 4
Source: RefSeq, a predicted model, not a curated record